This 351-nucleotide long non-coding RNA is filed under the name Musa acuminata (dwarf banana). RNAcentral describes it as "long non-coding RNA (MACU_LNC003852)". Lineage: Eukaryota; Viridiplantae; Streptophyta; Magnoliopsida; Zingiberales; Musaceae. The record is from RNAcentral.
UGCGCCUGCUGACCUCCGCGUCGGUGGACACGAUCGUCGGGCUACCGAACAGGUGAGACCUGAACACCUUCCCGUACCUGUACAGCGUCGCGGGCGUCAUGCAGGGACGGGCGAUGUACGUAUGUAUGAGGAGUUAUCGAUUGGUAUUCACGUACGUACAUGAGCCUACGCUUGUCCAUGAAUCUCUCGGGGCGAGGCGAGUAGGCGGAGGACACGAAGUGGAGGGUCUCGCCGACUAGAGGCCAACCACGGGAGCCUGCAGGGAGCUGCGCUCGUUGGUUGUUCGUCUUCUUCGUCCUCCAAGUCCGGGCGAUGGUCGCUGUCACAAGGAAUGCAAGCGACGCCACCCAU